CACUGACCAAGGCGAGCGAGCGUGGUUCUCAGGACUCUCUCCCACCAGGCAAUCGGCCCAGGAUGUGGACACUACUGAGAGUGCAUUAGUGGAGAGAUAAUAAAAUGCCUCCACAUCCUGGGUAAAGCAAACCACCAACUUCAGCUGGUCCACCUCUGAAUGAAGGGUAAAGGGCCUCCUGGACCGCUCACUAGCAGAGAAAUCUUGAAAAAAACGAAGCAGCAGGAUUUUGGCAUGCCCCUCUGAAUGUACAUAAAUAAAUCUCUUUCAGCAAGUCUCCAAGGAGUUUAAGCAAAACUUUCUUAAUGCUGGAGCAGAAAGUGAAAAACAAUCUCUGGUUUGUUUGUUAAGCUAGAAAAGUGGACAUCAUAUCCAAAGUACAAUUUAAAGCAUGAUUUUCUGCAUUCAAGAAUGAAGUGCUGGUAGUUCCUAGCUCAAGAAUGUGUCGACAGAACUUCCCAGUGAAACACUGCUGCUCCAAGUUCAUUAAACUCUUACCAGAAACAGUCAGGAAGGCAAAGAGCUGGGUGAAAUCAGGCAGAGAUCUCUGCUGGAGCCAUUUCCAGAAAGAAGCAGAAAGGGUCCAAGCUGUGGGCCCUAGGAGCAGACCACCUACCUUUCAUUGAAAUGACUGAAACUUAGGUAAAGAGAGGGGGGCAUUCCCAGCAAUGUUCACUAGCAGAAGACAGACCAGCACUCACCACAUGUUCAUACCUACCCCACCUGAUGAUCGGAUGGCCCAUUUUUGCAUUAAUAAUAGUAUAGAUCCAGGUAAAGGAGAUGCUUCCUGAGAGGCAGCGACGGGGUUUAUUCUGAAACAAUCUUCCCUCAACUCCAACUAUAGGCAUUAAGGCUAAGAUUGAGGUUUUCUCCACUGGAGGAGUAUUGAAUUUUUUUGUCUUUAUCAAAUGGUCAUCAAAAUAGCAUUUAAAAAACAAAUCCCCCAAUGUGGGCCCAAAGUGAGCUCUUGACUUUCCCAGGAUGCUUCAGACCAGUCAUCGUGAGGGUUGUCUAGACCCACAAAUGUCUCCUUCUAUCCACUUAGACAAAGUAAGGGGUCCAACAAAGAAUUUUAAGGUGAAUGAUGAAAUUUCCCUGUACAGAGCAGCUAGACUCAAAGGCAGCAUUAGAAAUUCCCGAAGAUUCUAAGAUUUGUGUAGAGUACUUCUAUAAUGAAAAGCAAGAUUACCUGGGUCUAAUACCUCCUCUCCUUUCACAGAUCUCUUUGCUAGGUUAAGAUGACUUUGAAACACUGAAGUUAUGCCCAUAGUCUUUUCAUCACUUCUGCUUUCCACAACCAAAUAAUAUGGUGUGCAUCUUUCUUUCUCUUUCUUUCUCUCUUUCUUUCUUUCUUUCUUUGUCAUUUUAGUUUGUUUUUCAAGGAACUUCAUUAAUGACCUUUUCCAUACAUUCAGGAGAAUGUAAGCUCCCUUAAGACAAAGACUAUUUCUUUGUCUUCCUAUUUGCAGAGCUUAGUAGGGAACCUGACUGAAGUCCAAGCAGACCACUCCCUCUUAAGCUUUUUCAUUCCUACUGUAAUCCUCCUUCUGACUCUUACUGGCUUUGUGACCCCAGGUAAUCCCUUAACCUCCCAAUGCCUGAAGUAACUCUCUGUAGACCAUCAGCUACAUAGAAGGUGCUGACCUGCUCUAAUAAUGGGAACUUCUUCAUGAGGAAGUUUCCACAGGUCAAGUGCCAACCCUUAUCCUUAUUUUAAUUUUACUGACUACUAUGUGGCACGGGCUGUGCCAGAAGAAUGUAAGCUCGGAGGAGAGGGCUGGUGGUUAUUUUGAUCUUUGCCUCACUAGCACCUGAAAAAGUGCCCAGCACAAAAUGGUGCUCCAUCAAUGUUUAUUUAUUCAAAGGGCAUCAUCUCAAUGAUUCCUUGAGGUCAAACUGGUGGGGCUGAUGGAGCAAUGGGACCCCUAAAAAAGGGUCCUUGAAUUUUCCCACCAAUUUUAGCAACCCAGAUCCCUGGGGUUCUGCUGAGGCAUCAGGCUGAUCCCAGUAUAAUCCUUUCAACCAUCCUUUUGUUGUGCCCCACCCCAUCUAGCCCAGCCCUUCAUUCUUUGUUUCUGCCAGACCAUCCCAGGCUACUUGCCACUCCUUAAUUCCAUCAAGAUCUUUUCACUGACCCCUUUUCCCUUUUUCUAUAGAAAAGUUUUAUUCUCACCUGCAUUAAGCUCAGACUCACUAGGAAUCUUGCCCAACCAAACAGCUUCUUAAUAAUUCACCAUUUGGACUGAAAGAAGGCUUGAGUGGUCAAAUUCUUUCGAGGCAGACCCACCCUAUACCCUUGCAUUUCCGGGUUCCUACCACCCCUAAGACUGCCUCAAAACUGCAAGAGUUCUGGCCUGGUGGCAUCUGAGAAACACUUGAUUAUUUGAAGAAGUAGAAUUGUUAAGGAUCCCAAUAAACCCACUACUGCCCUUGUUAACUGUCCCCUGGUCACAAGAUGACAGUCUGAGGUUUCCAGCUUGGAGAAUUCUAACAAGAGUUUCAUGAAAGAUUCCCCUUGUGAAAGUGGGUCCCUGGUAAGUCUUUCCUUCUAGAUAAAUACAACUUCCUUUUUCCCAAGGUGUAACAAUUAAGUGUGAUGAGUAAUUGUGUAAAUAAAUGUGCCAUUGGCAGAUGUACCUCCAAGAGUGUGGCUGUCAAAGCAAUACUCCAGAAUAGCUAGAGACUUAUCACUUAUUCCAGUGAGGAUAUCCUUGAUGAAAACAGCUUGGGGACUCUUCUUUGGGGAUUAUCAGAAGAGUUCUCCAAAGAGACAAAAGAUGCCCUCACUUUACAGAUGAGGAAACAAAGACCCAAUGAGUUGGUGAUAAAUAAUUUGCCCAAUGUCACCCAGAUGGUAAAUUUAAGAGAUGCAAUUGAAAUUCCCUCCUUUGACUCCCUGUCAGUGUCCCUUCCACUGUCUAAUCCAAAUAUUCCAUUUUGCAUAUUAGGAAAUGGAACGCUAAAGAGUGAAAGAAUUUCUCCAAAGUAUGGGACAGUGGAAAGAACUCUCUAACUGGAGUCUGAGAACAACCUGAGUUCAAAUUCCUGUUUUGAUAUUUAUUCUCCAUCCUUGAGCAAAUCAGUUAAACUCUCCGGGUCUGUUUCCUCAUCUGAAAAAUGAGGGUUAGAUAGAUUAGAUGCCAUUAUAGUCUUUAAAUCUGUGAUCCUGAUUGUCCAUACAGAACCACUGGCCCAGGACUGGUGAUUCUAAGGCUCUUGCUUUGUGACAUGCUAUCCAUGAUGUGUAUAUGCACUGCCAACAGAGCUCCUAAAAGACUGAAAUUACAGCAAGCCCAUUGCCAGGGUAAAGGAAGAAAGCCUUGAAUUUGAUUUACUAGAAAGAAAUUUAGAAGAAUUGUAGACCUUAGAUGUCACUCAUCCCAACCACCUCAUUAUACAGUGGAAGAGAUUGAUACCUGGAUUGCUGCAGUAUCACAGUGACUUGUAUCAUAUAGUCAAUGAAAACAAAGGUGUUUCCAUGGUCUGCCUUGCAUAUAGAAAUGAAUAAUGUAAGAAGGAGGCUGGGCAUAGAGCAAACCUGAGGAGCAUAUGUCAGUAACUGAAGAGUAAGGAGGAUUAAUACAAGUGACUUCUUCUUGCAUCCAGCAAAAAUCCAGCAGAGAGAAAAAUGGAUGCUGAAGACUUCCUAGAGGAUAUGCCAUCAGUACCAAAAAAGUGGGUUUGGGAUUCAUAAAGCAUUGGGAUUGUUUUCCGUGAUGGAAGAUAACUAGAUUAGAUGCUUUCCAAUUAAACAGGCUGAAUAUCACCCCUCAGGCUUCAAACCUGGCAGGGCUUGCUCAGGAAUUCACUUUUCCAACAUAGCUUUAGCAAAAAAGAAAUUUAUAAAUGGAGAUGUCAAAAAGUAUUGUAAAGGAAAAUGUCAACAGAGAAUUUGGAUAAUUCUGCCCAUUUAGCUGGAGUUCUGAAGCUACAGAGAACAGUACCAAAGGAAAGAUGGCGGCCAUCAACAGGCUCAACCUUGAGAAGUCAUUACUGCAAUUUUCUGAUCCAGCACUCAUCGGUGAAGGCUGCUCACAGAAAAGGCAGAUCCAAAGCUGACGAGGUGGGGGAGGCCAGGCCCCGCUGUCCACACAACUCUGUCCUUGCAACACGCAGUGGUCUGAGCUAACAGAAUGUCUGCGCAUCCCAGAGCAAAUGACAUACCGUGAUCAAAGGCACCAGAAAGAAAAAAGGAAUAAAGCAGGCAAGCAAAUGGAGCCUGAGAGAAGACUUGAUAGCAAUCAUUUCCUAAUGAGAGAAUCUAUGUGACUCUGAGUGACAAGUCAAGAAUCUUCUGCAGAGAGGCCACAAAUGAUGAAAUCCCAAGCUCUCGAUGGGAAGGAAGCACAUAUCAGGACCUUCCUGCUUUAGGAAUGCCAAGUGUCAGCUCAUUCACUAACUCCAUCUUCCUUCCACAUACUUUACAUGGUUUUCUUUAAACAGUCAUCAUUCUGUAGGUAUUAUUUUAAAUG
This is a non-coding RNA of Phascolarctos cinereus (koala), 4472 nucleotides long. The record is from RefSeq and is a predicted model, not a curated record. Lineage: Eukaryota; Metazoa; Chordata; Mammalia; Diprotodontia; Phascolarctidae.